AGCAGUAGCCACGGUAAUACGAAGGGUGCAAGCGUUAAUCGGAAUUACUGGGCGUAAAGCGUGCGUAGGCGGUGAGUUAAGUCUGCUGUGAAAUCCCCGGGCUCAACCUGGGAACUGCAUCUGUGACUGCAUAGCUAGAGUACGGUAGAGGGGGAUGGAAUUCCGCGUGUAGCAGUGAAAUGCGUAGAUAUGCGGAGGAACACCGAUGGCGAAGGCAAUCCCCUGGACCUGUACUGACGCUCAUGCACGAAAGCGUGGGGAGCAAACAGGAUUAGAUACCCCAGUAGUCCCUGUCUCUUAUAC
This 303-nucleotide ribosomal RNA is filed under the name uncultured bacterium. RNAcentral describes it as "partial 16S ribosomal RNA". It matches the Rfam family "Bacterial small subunit ribosomal RNA", at positions 507 to 807 of the family's 1533-position model. The record is from RNAcentral.